GAUGAACGCUGGCGGCGUGCCUAAUACAUGCAAGUCGAGCGAACAGACGCGGAGCUUGCUCCUCUGACGUUAGCGGCGGACGGGUGAGUAACACGUGGAUAACCUACCUAUAAGUCUGGGAUAACUUCGGAAAACCGGAGCUAAUACCGGAUAAUAUAUUGCACCGCAUGGUUCAAUAGUGAAAGACGGUUUUGCUGUCUCGUAUCGAUGGAUCCAGGCCGCAUUAGCGAGUUGGUAAGGUAACGGCUUACCAAGGCGACGAGGCGUUGCCGACCUGUUGGGCUGAUAGGCGACAUGGGAGCGGAGACGCGGUCCAGACUCCUACGGGAGGCAGCAGUAGGGAAUCUGCCGCAAUGGGGGAAAGCCUGGCGGAGCAGCGGCGCGUGAGUGAUGAAGGUGCUCGGAUCGUAAAACUCUGUUAUUAGGGAAGAACAAAUGUGUAAGUAACUAUGCACGUCUUGACGGUACCUAAUAAGAAAGCCACGGCUAACUACGUG
RNAcentral lists this ribosomal RNA (497 nucleotides) under uncultured bacterium. Its description in RNAcentral is "partial 16S ribosomal RNA". It matches the Rfam family "Bacterial small subunit ribosomal RNA", at positions 28 to 507 of the family's 1533-position model. The record is from RNAcentral.